AAAUGUCUCUUAAUUAUGUUUCCACACAUCCAAUUGAACUUUCUUUAUAUUAGGAGGGAAGGAAGAGAGAAAUCAGUUCCUUGCCAGAGCCCAGUCUGAGGUUUUAUUGAAUACGUGGCAGAUUGCUCAGUGCUGGGGUUCUAUUUUGCCUUAACUGGAGAAGCUGGAAUCAACUGUAUUUAGGUUAUUUAUUUAAAUAAUGUUUCUGGAGGCUUCUGGGACACAUUUUCAUUUCCAUUUUCUUUCCUGCCUUCCCAAAAAUCUCUUUCCCUAAAAGAAGUGAUAGAGGCUGACCUUCAGAUGCCAUGUUUCUUUGUGUGGUAUGUAUUUUGAGAAAGAUUGAAGGUACUGAGACUAAAGGAAAACUAAAUGUAAGUAAUGAUGAAUAAUACAGUCCUAAUUGAAUGCUCCUCGACUGUCUGGGAUUUAAUGGCAUGGCAGUAUAGCAAAUUUCUGGGUUUAAUGAGAUAAGCAAAAUAACUGCCCAAAAUAAUGUCAUACUUUUAAUAGGCUGAACUUGAUUAAACUAGACCAGAAACAGUCUGCAGACUGAGGAAGGUAUAUUGUAGAAAUAGUAAGUUCAGCACCAGUGACAUGGCAAAGAUUUUUAGGCAUAAAUCACAGGCACAUUACAUUUGGAAAGCUCCAUACAUUAGCAGACUGAACUUCUUUCCCCCCUUCUCUGAGUUCUCUGUAGGCUACACUGAAUUCUGGGACAGAAAGUGCAUAAAUGUCAAAUCUGAGUAGUCUGAGAUCAGAUCUCGCCAAUAAGAGAAUAUUUGGAGCAUAUGGGAUAGUUCAGAGCAGUUUUGAGGUGAUCUUGCUUUUCUGACUUUUACUUGUAAUUUUAUUCUAUGGCCAAAGCUAUCAAUCACUGAUGUAUCUGAGAUUGAUGUGUCUCUAGCACCUAAAAAUAGGAAGUGACCUUCCUUAAGAUUUUAGGCAAUUCUUCUGUGGAAUUCAGGUAGUCUGUGGUAAAGUGUCUUCCAGUUAGAAGUUCAAUCCAAGCAAACGGCUUGAGCAGAGCUCAUAAAAUACUUGACGUGCUUUUCAGAUGUGAAACAUGCUUGUUACUUUUGUUCCUCGCUGGAACACUUAGGCAGGACAGGAGCUUCAAAGUGAUGUUAGUGUCACAGGGUGUUACUAACUCUUCUUUGCAGUUGGAUGAAGCCUUGAAGAAUCUGGGGUAAAAGUGAGCUGUCUUAAUGAAACAGCAAUUUUGAAUGCGUAUUAUGUCCCAAGCUAAUGGCUGCUUCAGGAUGUUGCUUCAUUAACCAGGGAGCAUUAAAAGCUCCAAACCACUGUGAAGGAUGCGUUAAUCAAAAAUAUUAAUGAAAUGUGCUGACCUCCAGAUAGAUGUUCCCAUGCACAAAAAAUAAGGGCUCUGUAAUUGAGAUCCAUUAAGCACUGUGGCUGUAUUGGCUGAGUUAGCAGCCUCAGGUGCUGCCUGGCAUUCAAUAUUGCCAAUUUUUUGCUCUAUUAGCUAUAUAAAAGGGGAGAAAAAAAAGAGUCUUAAUGGCAGUCCAGUCUUUACUAAUGGGAAGGUGCUUAAGAUGCAAAUGAGAAGUUCUCCUAUCCCAUCUUUCAAUAGAUAUAGUAAGUGUAUUCAGCCUGUCCUUGCUUCCCCUGUUAAAAAAGAAAUGUAUUUGAGACUAAGCAGUGCAGGAUUCUGUGGCGCUCAGUGGCUGUGCUAUAACACAAGAUCAGAGAUCUCCUUUCCACCUAAGGACACCUCUUACCUCUUUCUUUUUGUAGCAGAAACUCAUUAAUUUUAAUGCACACCAGUGAAGUAGCUGAGUGGGCUUUGAGGUCGCCUUCAUACAGGCAUGUUGUGUUGCUUCUGCACCACUGAGUUCAUUAUUCUUUUAUCAAGAAAGCAAGGAGGAGUACCGUGUCUAUGGUCCUAAUGCUGUCUUGCUCAGACAUCACAGGGCAUCAGCACUCUCCAGAAACAUAAGAAAGCCUGCUUGGAAAAUGAAAUGAAGCAUUCUUUGGUUGGUUUAAUCCACAAGAGAGGAACACUCACCACAUAUUUCUAUAUGAUUUGCUGCUUCUUGCUCUAAAGUUAAGCAGGUCAAGGCUAGGAAAACUGGCUGCAUAAGAAAUAAAUGCCAGUGGUACAAUACAGGGCCAAUAAAGGACUUGUCUGCAUUUCCUCUACAAACAACUGUAUGCAAGGUAUUCUCAAGCCUACAAUGUUUAACCAUGCUGACAGGGGUAUUUUUACAGAGGUAUGCGUGUGUUUUCAGUGUUGCUUCUAUAGGAUUGGGAUUUCUUUCAAGCCUUGGAAGCCCAGGUCCAUUUCUGCUAGUUCCUAAAUGGGUCUGGAAGUCUCAGUCCAUUUCUGCCAGGAUGCAUGAGGGAGGCAUUCAGCUCGUAUUCAGGAAGGAGCACUGCAGCUAGGUUGCAAGGGCAAACGUGGUGCUAAGACUGCUAUGACUGUGUGACCAGGCCUGAGUUACUGUGCAUGGACAGGACAGCAAUUCUGAGAACAGAAAAGCAAAAGGUGGAUGAUGAAGGCACCUGAAGAAGGCUGUGGCUGCUGCUAAGACUGUUCUGGUUGAUCAAGAGGCCUGUGGUGGUACCUGGAGCAUGGGGAGGUGAGUGUACUCCAAUGUCACACCCUGGUGUCACCAUUCAUGUGGCCAUAGUGAGCUUUUGCAAACUUUGUUGCCUCAAAAUAACCUAAACAUGGCUGAGUAUGCUGAAGAGACUAAACUUAGCAUUUACCUGUGCUGGUAGUAUCU
Pezoporus occidentalis (night parrot) is the source of this 2747-nucleotide long non-coding RNA. RefSeq lists it as uncharacterized. NCBI's taxonomy places the organism in Eukaryota, Metazoa, Chordata, Aves, Psittaciformes, Psittacidae. The record is from RefSeq and is a predicted model, not a curated record. The transcript has 3 exons.